Molecule: ribosomal RNA, 603 nt
Filed under: Alternaria roseogrisea
Lineage: Eukaryota; Fungi; Ascomycota; Dothideomycetes; Pleosporales; Pleosporaceae
Description: LSU rRNA
Rfam family: Eukaryotic large subunit ribosomal RNA
Source: RNAcentral
UUAAGCAUAUCAAUAAGCGGAGGACAAGAAACCAACCGGGAUUGCCCUAGUAACGGCGAGUGAAGCGGCAACAGCUCAAAUUUGAAAUCUGGCUCUUUUAGAGUCCGAGUUGUAAUUUGCAGAGGGCGCUUUGGCUUUGGCAGCGGUCCAAGUUCCUUGGAACAGGACGUCACAGAGGGUGAGAAUCCCGUACGUGGUCGCUGGCUAUUGCCGUGUAAAGCCCCUUCGACGAGUCGAGUUGUUUGGGAAUGCAGCUCUAAAUGGGAGGUACAUUUCUUCUAAAGCUAAAUAUUGGCCAGAGACCGAUAGCGCACAAGUAGAGUGAUCGAAAGAUGAAAAGCACUUUGGAAAGAGAGUCAAACAGCACGUGAAAUUGUUGAAAGGGAAGCGCUUGCAGCCAGACUUGCUUGCAGUUGCUCAUCCGGGCUUUUGCCCGGUGCACUCUUCUGCAGGCAGGCCAGCAUCAGUUUGGGCGGUAGGAUAAAGGUCUCUGUCACGUACCUCUCUUCGGGGAGGCCUUAUAGGGGAGGCGACAUACUACCAGCCUGGACUGAGGUCCGCGCAUCUGCUAGGAUGCUGGCGUAAUGGCUGUAAGCGGCCCGU